RNAcentral lists this ribosomal RNA (213 nucleotides) under uncultured bacterium. RNAcentral's name for it is "partial 16S ribosomal RNA". It matches the Rfam family "Bacterial small subunit ribosomal RNA", at positions 524 to 732 of the family's 1533-position model. The record is from RNAcentral.
UACGAGGAGGCGAGCGUUGUCCGGAUUUACUGGGCGUAAAGCGCGCGCAGGCGGCAUGGCAAGUAAGGUGUGAAAUCUCCCUGCCUAACGGGGGAGGGUGCAUUUUAGACUGCCAAGCUAGAGGACGGUAGAGGGGGGGUAGAAUUGCUGGUGUAGCGGGUGAAAUGCGUAGAGAUCAGCAGGAAUACCCCGUGGCGAAGGCGGCCCCCCUGG